This 653-nucleotide long non-coding RNA is filed under the name Cyanistes caeruleus (blue tit). RNAcentral describes it as "lncRNA (ENSCCEG00000012626.1)". The record is from RNAcentral. Lineage: Eukaryota; Metazoa; Chordata; Aves; Passeriformes; Paridae.
UAUAUUUUAUCCCUAGUGGGGUUUAUUUUGAUUUGGUUUGUUGUUUUUUUUUUUUUUUUUCAGGGAAUCAGAGACUGCUUUGGGUGGAAGGGACCUUUGAGAUCAUCUUGUCCCAACCCCCUGCCAUGGGCAGGGACACCUUCCACUAUCCCAGGUUGCUCAGAGCUCCCCCCCAACCUGACCUGGAACACUUCCAUGGAUGGGAAGGAAUUUUCUUUCAUCCUUCUUCCUUUAGGAGCACAUGGCCUUGCCUAAACUCUGUUCAGAUGAGCUCCAGGUUGAAUAAAAGUCCGUUCACCACCACAGGGCUGCUGGGAAGAUCCCAGGGAGAAGGAGCCAGCAGCCAAACAGGAGUCAGGAUUGUGAAUCAUCACUCCUGAGAUCUCAUUAAUCACCGCUGGAUAAUGCAGCAGGCAGGAAUUCAUCUGGCAAUAUCCUAAACUGAGGGAAAUCUUCCCUCCUUGUGUGUGUUCCUGGAAACAUUUCCCUUUUGGAUGAAUAAGAGCUGCAAAAUGAAAAAGAACUGAAACAAAGCCCUUCGUGUAAAAUCCCCUAAAUCAUCCCUGGGGGACAAAUAGUUCUCUGUCAAUGACUUGACCAGAAUUGGUUUUCCUAAGGAAAUAUUUUGGAAGUGUGUUCCUGGGAACCUGGGU